Molecule: ribosomal RNA, 466 nt
Filed under: uncultured bacterium
Lineage: Bacteria
Description: partial 16S ribosomal RNA
Rfam family: Bacterial small subunit ribosomal RNA
Source: RNAcentral
GACGAACGCUGGCGGCGUGCUUAACACAUGCAAGUCGAACGGAAAGGCCCUGCUUGCAGGGUACUCGAGUGGCGAACGGGUGAGUAACACGUGGGUGAUCUGCCCUGCACUUCGGGAUAAGCUUGGGAAACUGGGUCUAAUACCGGAUAGGAACCAUCUUUAGUGUGGUGGUUGGAAAGUUUUUUCGGUGUAGGAUGAGCUCGCGGCCUAUCAGCUUGUUGGUGGGGUAAUGGCCUACCAAGGCGGCGACGGGUAGCCGGCCUGAGAGGGUGUACGGCCACAUUGGGACUGAGAUACGGCCCAGACUCCUACGGGAGGCAGCAGUGGGGAAUAUUGCACAAUGGGCGCAAGCCUGAUGCAGCGACGCCGCGUGGGGGAUGAAGGCCUUCGGGUUGUAAACUCCUUUCGCUAGGGACGAGGCUUUGUUGUGACGGUACCUAGAUAAGAAGCACCGGCUAACUACGUG